RNAcentral lists this long non-coding RNA (628 nucleotides) under Olea europaea subsp. europaea. The record is from RNAcentral. Lineage: Eukaryota; Viridiplantae; Streptophyta; Magnoliopsida; Lamiales; Oleaceae.
CGAUAAUAUCUUUAUGUAGGUGGUUAUACCAUAAGCAAAUGUAAACUUUAAAUGUAGGCUAAAUUUGUAUAUUGAAAUGUUGUUCAAUUUAUUGCACGUGGUUGAAUUUAGGAAUUUAACCAUCUGAUUCAUGUUAGCAUGUGUUGUAUCUCAAUAGUUAUAAUAUAAUGCCAAACUUGUUUCAGAUGCUUCAUUACGUAUGGUACGAAUUAAACGCAUGUUAUAUAAUCCUCUGACCAUUGGAAUUCAUUUGUGUUAAUGGUUUUGUAGACUGAUUUCGAGUUUGUUUUGUCCAAAGAUGAGAGUCUACUUGCGCAAGUAUCUCAGCUCAGCAACUUGAAGUUCAUUAAGACGGUCCUACAGAAUUUGCAUUCAGGUUAGAAAUCGAACUUCCAAAGAUCUUAUCUCAAUUUCCUGGCCAAUUUGCCUGACAUUCAACUUUUAGCCAACUCAAUCAACAACUUCUGCUCUGAUGAUACGUGCAUCUGAAUACCAUUGCUAUUAAGCUCGACUCCUUACAAUAGGAGUGGUAGGAAGAGAGGAAAGAACAUGAAGUAAUAGGACUUUCUUGAUUGGAAAUACAAUGUGAAACAUUUUGAACUUGUUAUUUGUGUUAUUUUGAAAGUUU